Molecule: ribosomal RNA, 406 nt
Filed under: uncultured bacterium
Lineage: Bacteria
Description: partial 16S ribosomal RNA
Rfam family: Bacterial small subunit ribosomal RNA
Source: RNAcentral
AUUGAACGCUGGCGGCAGGCCUAACACAUGCAAGUCGAGCGAGGGGGGGAGGGGUGAGUAAUGUCUGGGACAGUGCCUGAUGGGGGGGGAAAACUACGGGAAACGGUAGAUAAUACCGCAUACCAUCAGAUGUGCCCAUAUGGGAUUAGCUAGUAGGUGGGGUAAUGGCUCCUCUAGGCGACGAGCCCUAGCUGGUCUGAGAGGAUGAACAGCCACACUGGAACUGAGACACGGUCCAGACUCCUACGGGAGGCAGCAGUGGGGAAUAUUGCACAAUGGGCGCAAGCCUGAUGCAGCCAUGCCGCGUGUAUGAAGAAGGCCUUCGGGUUGUAAAGUACUUUCAGCGGGGAGGCGUUACCCGCAGAAGAAGCACCGGCUAACUCCGUGCCAGCAGCCGCGGUAAUUC